CGAAGAGCCCGAAAAUUCACGUGAAGCUGAAAGUAAACAGUUCCACGCUGUUGCUUUCUAGCAAAGGAUGUCUAAACUUAGAAGCGCCUAGCUGGAAUGGAGACAAGUUCUGAAGGUGUUUCCUGAAGAAAGGAGUGAAGGACAGAAAGCUCCUGCCAACAUCAGCGCUCCCUCCAGUCCUGCCAUGCUGGAACCAAGCCCUGCGCAGCCCUUGAGCCCUCCUCCAGCCAGGUCCUGGCACAUCAUGGCAUCAUGGGAAGACACAAUAAUCCCGCUACUUCCAGAUGUGGAGGUGGUGCUCUCCUCCCCCCUCCUCGGUUGCUCUGGUGUUGGAGCAGGUGCUCUGAUUCCACUGCUACCAGCACUCAAGCUGCCCCCAGCACCAACACCACCACUUCGCCUUUUUGGUGGUGGACCCCAGAGGAAGGCGUGGGCAGGCCUGUAGUGCUGGCGGGCGUAGCGGAGCAGGCGACGGCGGGUUGCUGGGAGGCGGAUGGUGUAGACGUAGUACUCCAGGACGCUGUGCUGCAUGUUGGGGAGGGUGUUAUGGCACAGGGACUCCUCCAGGAAGAGGCGGACCAGUGGAGCUUUGAAGGCCUCAUAUCCAAGCUCGCCUAGGGACUUCAAGAUGCGAGUGAUCCGCAGGUAGUUGUGGUGGGAUCUUUAAAGGAAAAAGAGUAGGUAAACAAAUAUGAUGAAUCGGGAUGAUCUACUGUGCAUAACAGGGCAUUUUCCAAGAACACUUUUUGACAUGUCACAAUAGGAAAAGCAGUGGCGGGGUAUUCAACAAGCUAACAAGCUAAGACACUGUCACAUCAUCAUGAGUUACCAAGACACAUGAAUAGUACAGAGGCCUCAUUAAUGUUGACAAAUCAAAAUGUCUGCUGUGAUAUAAAGACUGGUACAGUUGAAGUACCCAUUCCAGUCCAUACUAAGUUUGUACAUUUGUUUUAACAUUUAAUAACAAAACUAGAUAUAUACAAAUCUAAGAACAUUUCAGAUACCCACGUCAUGAUUCUUCUUUGGAGAAAGGACUCCACUUGUAUCAUUCAUAAGUGUGGGGUUUCUCAUUUCAGACAUUUUCAAAUAUUAUUAUAUUUGUACAUCCAGUUUCAGAUAUCUGCAGUUUAAUUCUGAUUCUAGCUUAAAAAUCCCCUCAAUUCAAGAUACCUACACUGGUCUUUUAAGAUAUCUUAAAUUAUGUCAGAACUACUCACAAUAACAUUUAGAUAUUGCAAACUAGAAUUUUGUACAGUCAAAGUUCCAGAUAUCCUGAGUUAGAGUUUUGACUCAGCAAAGGGAUUGUUGCAGAUAUCUGCAGUGUCCAGUGCUACUGCAAGUGGGAGGUGGAGGCUGGGAUGACUUGCUUUUCAAACAUACUAUGGUAAUUCAGCCGUAAUCGUAUAUAAGAAACCAAUUUGCCGCCAUGUCAGGGCAAAGUUGUGGUAAGUUUUGACAACAAUUCUCUAAUGAACAAAGCUCUCGUUCUCCCAACCCCCUUGCUGAGGAACUCAUUCUAUUACAUAUCCUUUUCUAACUAAUCUAUCCACUACAGCAACUGCCAUUUCCACGUCUAAUGCUGUUCAAAUGCGUGGCUGGACCAACGCUCCUUGUGAAGCCUUGCAUGAGCAGCAUCACGCACACACUGUCACAGAGCGAAAGGUGAACAGGUCACCAGUCGAUCACAGGACUGACACGCAGGAAGACGGACAACCCCACAUCUACUGGUAACAUUUAGAAGGAAUCAGUCACAUAUGUUGUUGCACUGACUAUGAACUAUAAAAUACUGCAUGUGAAAAUGGGCCCAAGCAGUGCUUGGCCUUUGGUCUUAAUGGAGGCAUAGGGAUGGUGAUGGGGUCUUUAAGAAUACAGAGACCUGUUCCUUAAUGACUGUGGUUACUUGCCUUGAGAGAAAUCUAGAAACCAGAUGCAGAGCUUUUCCAGCAUUUUUAAUGGGAAAUUAAAAGCAAGACAGGGAAAUAAAACUGUACUGAGCAGCUGUUUAAUGGUGGAGAAUUUCUUGUUUUUCAUGUGGUUGGGAAUUAACGGCAACAAUUACCAUAAGACACUUAGGUUUAGUGGAGGUUUGUGACUUGAGGAGGCUGCAGUAACAGCCCUGAGACUGUGCUGGGUACAAAGACAGACACAUACUUCAGUACAAACUAUAAAAUGAGGUAUUCAGGUGGCUCUUUGGCAAGAAAACGCAAUGACUUAUCUCAGGCUAAGAAACUAUCAAAAAAAGGAUGUGAAGGGAAAGGAAAUCUUCCUCUAAAUUACUCUUAAACCAUCUGUUUGCUGGCUUAAAACGUGCUGUUUCACAUUUGGCUGCUGAUAGAGGAACAAUUAGGUUGCACAGGAUUUAGAAUGAUUGCCUUGCUAAAGACACAAAAGCAGCAAUUGGCAACCAAGCGAUGAGUUCACAAAAUCUGGAUGCAAUUUUAUACCCCGAAGCUGCUGUACGAUGGGGUUUUAUGUGUGUGUGUGUGUGUGUGUGUUUACUUACUCAUUAAGGUGCUGGAAGCGCUGCUGCCAGUUGGGAGCCCGAGCAACAUUACCGCUCUUAUCCAGCAGUUUGAUGCCAUAGAAGUCCAACAUCAGGGAAUAGGCCGCCAGAAAUCUUCGCUUUGCUUCCCGAGCGCUUUGGAAUUCCUGACAAGAUUCAAUGCAACACGUCAGUAACCGACCGACAGGUGGUGGCGGAUUUUCUCUCUCCCUCCUCCCUUCUCCUCUCUCUCCAGGUGGGUGUGAGCGUGGUGCGUGGUAUGUUGGCAGGUGCUGCCAAUCUGCAAUCACCUGGAUUCUCCACCUGUUCUCCACCAUAAGUCUGGACUCUCCUGGAUCCCCACCUGAAAAUCACCAGGGCUUCAGCACCCGCCUCACCUCCACCAUCCUCCACGCCACCUCUGCCUGCAUCGUCCGUCUCCGCUUCCCCUCACGCCUGCAGUCAGCUAAGUUCCCCACUCACUCUCAGACUCCAGCCACAGCUUAGUUCUGUAGAUCAGUAGUUGGAUUUCUUUGUGACUGUUUCUCCGGUUUGGUGUCUAGUAAUACUCCCUGUAAUUUGUGUAUUCUGUUGUAACUUUCCCAGCUCGGUUAUACCUAGUCCUGGUUAGUUGUUUUCUCUUCUUUAUCUGUGUGUCUUUUCAGUUCUGUGGUUUAUGAGUAAUACUUUCUGUUGUAGUUUUCUGCUGGUUUGGAAAUGGUUUAACUCCAAAUGCCUGUCUGCCGUGUCUUUGUUGUCCUGCGCUUGAGUCUCUGUACCAGUGCUGUAACACAUGUCUUAUGUUGUGUUGUACGAAUGGCCAAGGUGUCUAUAUUUGUUGUGGAUGACUACACUUAUAGGUGUCUACACUGAACAUAUGUGAACAGUUCGAGGAGCAGAUGUGCUGCAGAAUGUGUCUUUUUGUUGGCUACACCUGCAAUGCAAGAACAACGUAAGGUUGUGCCAAAACAAGACCGUGAGCUUUCACUGUAGGAUUGUUGUGACUUCUCUUUUUGGGCCCAGUGAAAUGUUAAGUUUUUCACAAAGUAUGGAUAAUGUGGGAAAAUUGACUGCUACAGACUAUAGUAGACUUUGGAAAGAAUACAGUUACUUAGCAACCAUCAGAGGCAGACUGCUGGCAAAUAAGUACCACCAGGGUAAUCAAGACUCCAAAGUGCAGGCCCUAUCUGAUACAAAGAAGUCAUUUCUGUUAUACCACUGGUUUCAUUCAAAUCAUAUAGACACUUUAUGACCUAUUUCUGAGUAAAAGCAUCACAAACACCUUGCAUACAAUAUAUGAAUACAAGAUUGAUCAGUUUUUACAUUUGCAGCUCCACUGCUCUCAUGCCAGGCAUAGCCACUUUUUUUUUUGAUUACAGUAGAAGUGUAAUCAGUGUGAAUGCUCUGCACACACACAGUGUAACCACAGGAUUGGAGUUGGAGUGAAAAAAAAAUGGCAUCAUAGCCACAAGCCGGCUGAUGGAGCCACCUCCAGCAAGGAGCAAUUCCUCUGGUGUCAAAAAGAAGUUCAACUGUAUUGAAAUCUCUGAGAAAAUGACUGUACUUCUUAUUUGAUGUCAGUGAGCACUUUGUUAAUUUGUAGCCCCAGUCAUUAGGUUUAGGUCUCCUUCAGUACAAUGCAAUGUUUAUUUAGUAGUAAUAAAAAUAAUAAAGCAGUCUAUGUUUCAGGGCUACCUUGUGAUUGACAGGUUGGUACCAUAUCGGUGUAUUCUCAGUCAGAUCCACCCCUCACUUAUAAUGUUACACUAUAACCAGGAUGGUGAUCAUCAAACUGACACUUGACAACCCAGAUGGGUGAUGUUACGAGGCAUCUUUCAUAUAGUCUACAUUCCCUCCCUUGGCCCGACCAUGGGGUCCUACAUGAACCGUUUCUUUUGAGGAUCAGGGGGUAGUGAUAAUCUACACGUCAUUUGGAGGGCUUGACGAAACAGGACACCCUACCCUACAUGGCAGUACACAAAGCGGAGGAGUCGGGCCAAGUGCCAAGUUGGGGAAUUAGGAUUUGGCCCAAAAACUGUCUUUUGUGUUGGUAGUCUGAUUCAAAUGUGGACAAAGCUGCACAUUUCAGGCUAUAUGCAGUUUAUAGGCUAUACGUAUUUAUGCACUCAGUUCAGGUUCACAUGAAGCAUUUUUUACUGUCUGCCACAAACAUCUAAUGCAUUGUUGUUUGACAGUGUAAUUUAAUAAACUACCCUGGGAACACAGUGAACAAAACAAAAUAUGACAAUGUACUACUGAGUCAUGUUAACCUGCCACUUAGGGAAAUAGCUUCCCACGGGAAAAGUUACAUCAUUUUGAAAGUAGCCAAGUUACCUGGCCACUAUUGGAAAAAACAGUUCAGCUAAUAGCUUUGUUAAAUGUAACGCCUACGCCCAAAACUGCUAAUGCUCUGUUAUUGUUACUGCUGUAUAAAUGGUUAUAUUGUUCCUCACUUCCAUUAUAGAUUUGGCCAAAAAAAAAAAUAAUUAAGAGCGUGCCAGCCCACACAGAGUACUGAUGCACACAUCACAGCUGGUGCCCUUUUUGUAAUACAUACGAGAAUUGGAUUUGCCGAUAAAAAGGAUCAAAAUAACUAGAUGUCAUUAUUAUACCUGGCAAGGACAAGAACCAAACGGCAGCUGCCUGAGGAUGAAAAGAUAUUUAAACUCCAAACACCUAACAAUGCAUGGAGAGGAUUAUAGACUGGCCUCUUAAAUCUGACACACUGCCAAAUGUUAAUAAUCUUCAUCAAAUAUAAAACUAUAGACCCUCCCACACUGUAAUGAUGUCCGAUAAAACUGUCCUGUUUUAUAUUCUGAAUCUGCAGUGCUUGCAGUGUUCAGGUUUGCUUUGACUGUGUCAGAGACAGACAGAUUGAACUCUGCAGCCUUUAUUACCGUUGCAGUUAUCGAGCAGCGUGUCAGUAAAAUACAAACCAGGUUGCAACAACAUGAAUUAACCAACCAAAAUGACCACAGAGUUGAAUUAACGUAGAGCUGAAGAAAAGCUGAGCUUCACUCACUUAACGGAGGACGCAUUCAUUACAGGGCUGCUGUAUUGGAUUGCAUCAUGAUGUUUUUUUCCUUUUUGGGCGAUGAAUGUAAAAUACAAUGUGUUGGAGCCAUUUCAAUCGGUAACCAGUAAGUGGUGCUGUGACCUAGUUACCUGUAUUUAAAGGCCACACUAAUAGCCACAGGUGUGGCGCAAACAGGAAAUGAAUUGUUUUUGACCGUGGCAUGGCGGACUGUUGGAAAGACUUUGCUCUUUGUUAAUUUUGAUGAACUCCAGACGGUAAAUAAACUGAUGAUACAUCCAUUCAUAAUUGUGAGUUUGGACGAUUACUUUUUUUGAAUAUAGACUCUAUUGGUGUUAUUUUUGUUAUUUUUGGGCCACGACGGAGUAUAAGAGCACGUCAGAGCAGCCAGAAGCCACGCGUUCUUAACGGAACCAAGUUUGUGGCAUCACAAUGUAUUAAAAAACCCAUUUGCAGCGGUGUGUGGCGGGUUUUGUGGGCAAACAUUUGCAGCUAAAAUGUUUUGCAGACUUUGGGGAAAACCAGGGAAACAGGAAAACCAGUCUAUCCAAGGCUGGUUUUCUGCCUUCAGCUCCAAAACAAUCUUAUGUUUCAUGUGACCUUUUGUUUGAAAUUGAGCUUUUAUUAGUA
This is a long non-coding RNA of Amphiprion ocellaris (clown anemonefish), 6146 nucleotides long. RefSeq lists it as uncharacterized. The record is from RefSeq and is a predicted model, not a curated record. NCBI's taxonomy places the organism in Eukaryota, Metazoa, Chordata, Actinopteri, Pomacentridae. The transcript has 3 exons.